GGCCUUGAAAGCUACAUAUAAAGGAUGUCAGAGCCCCCACCAACACAGUCUCUCUCCAUUAAGAGUUCACAACCUUCUGAGGUCCAAUCUCACACCAAGUUACCUUGUUACACUACGUUGUGACAUUUUGCUUUUUCUGAACUCUGAAGAUGUUUAUUUCCACUUUGUGAAUAAGAAAAUAUACCAGAAUGACUUGGAGAUAAUUUGGUACAACUCUUAUGUUCUGUUUGGCUCAAGUCCAUCCCAAACCAAGAAAUCCAUUCAUCACUCUAAUAUACUCCUUAUGGAUAAAUUAUCUCAGCACACAAACCCCAGGACUGUUUCACUGCUCUUGGCUAACUAACAUUGGACUCGUUGACACAAUCUGCUAAAGAGAGAGAAUUUGGGUGUGCUGAGGACAGGCUAGAAAGACAAGAAAGCGUGCAGCCGCAAGUCAGACUCUUUUCCUGACCUCACCCCUCAGA
This is a long non-coding RNA of Bos taurus (domestic cattle), 464 nucleotides long. NCBI's taxonomy places the organism in Eukaryota, Metazoa, Chordata, Mammalia, Artiodactyla, Bovidae. The record is from Ensembl.